RNAcentral lists this non-coding RNA (782 nucleotides) under Cosmoscarta exultans. Lineage: Eukaryota; Metazoa; Arthropoda; Insecta; Hemiptera; Cercopidae. The record is from RNAcentral.
AUAAAGUUUGAUUCUUGCUUUGAGUUUAAUUUAUUCAUUAUUUUACAUGCAAGAUUUUUCAUGAAUAUAUGUAUAUAUAUAUUAAAUUCUAAAUGGUAUUAUUUUAUUCGCAGUAAUUUAUUCUAUAAUUUUAUUUUGGUAUGAUAUGUUAUAUGAUUAUUAUUUAUGAUUAAUUUUGUGCCAGCAUUCGCGGUUAUACAAUUAUAAAUUAUUAAAUUUUAUAUCUUUUAGUUAAUCUUUUUUUUUGAAAAUUAUUAUUAUAUAAUUAAGUGAAAUUUUUAUUUAAUUUAUUAUUCAUUAUUUUGUAAGUGUUUCUAAGAAAUUUUUUUUUAAACUAGGAUUAGAUACCCUAUUAUUUUAAAUGUGAACUUUUAGAUUGAUUAUUAAUAGUUAUGAUCUUUAAAUUUAAAGAAUUUGGCGGUAAUUAAGUCUUUUUAGAGGAACCUGUUUUUUAAUUGAUAAUCCACGAUUGAUUUUACUUUAAUGUUACUUGUAUAUCUCUGUCAUUGAAUGUAUUAUUAGAUUUUAAUUUUCAUUAUUUUUUAGUAGAAUUUAUGUUAGGUCAAGGUGCAGUUUGUAUUAAAGUUUAAAUGGGUUACAUUAUUGUUAUUUUGGGUAUUAAUUUGUAAUAUUUAAUUUAAAUUGGAUUUAAUAGUAAUUUUAAUUAGUAAAAUUAUUUUGAUUAUUGGCUCUUAAUUAUGUACACAUUGCCCGUCACUCUCAUUAAUUUGAGAUAAGUCGUAACAAAGUAGUUUUACCGGAAGGUGAAUCUAGAAAGAAUU